UACGUAGGGGGCAAGCGUUAUCCGGAUUUACUGGGCGUAAAGAGCGUGUAGGUGGUUGCGUAAGUUGGUUGUGAAAUCUCCCGGCUCAACCGGGAAACUGCAAUCAAAACUGCGCGGCUAGAGUGGCAGAGAGGAAAGUGGAAUUCCCGGUGUAGUAGUGAAAUGCGUAGAUAUCGGGAGGAACACCAGCGGCGAAGGCGACUUUCUGGCUGCCAACUGACACUGAGACGCGAAAGCUAGGGGAGCGAACGGG
Molecule: ribosomal RNA, 253 nt
Filed under: uncultured bacterium
Lineage: Bacteria
Description: partial 16S ribosomal RNA
Rfam family: Bacterial small subunit ribosomal RNA
Source: RNAcentral